Molecule: ribosomal RNA, 263 nt
Filed under: uncultured bacterium
Lineage: Bacteria
Description: partial 16S ribosomal RNA
Rfam family: Bacterial small subunit ribosomal RNA
Source: RNAcentral
UACGUAGGUGGCGAGCGUUGUCCGGAUUUACUGGGUGUAAAGGGAGCGUAGGCGGGUAUGCAAGUUGAAUGUGAAAUCUAUCGGCUCAACUGAUAGGCUGCGUUCAAAACUGUAUAUCUUGAGUGAAGUAGAGGUAGGCGGAAUUCCUAGUGUAGCGGUGAAAUGCGUAGAUAUUAGGAGGAACACCAGUGGCGAAGGCGGCCUACUGGGCUUUUACUGACGCUGAGGCUCGAAAGCGUGGGGAGCAAACAGGAUUAGAUACC